RNAcentral lists this ribosomal RNA (2340 nucleotides) under Triticum aestivum (bread wheat). RNAcentral describes it as "partial small subunit ribosomal RNA". Lineage: Eukaryota; Viridiplantae; Streptophyta; Magnoliopsida; Poales; Poaceae. The record is from RNAcentral.
GGGUCCGGUUCAGACCCUACCCAAACCUCUCCAGACCGUCGCGGCCGCGCAGGUGGUGCGUACGGACCGAGUCGCACGAGGUGGGUUUGGGGUGUAUAUAGGGCGUAGAGGCCUACUUGGGAUCUGGUUUUAGUUGUGUGAGAUGAGGUGUGAGAGAGGCAAAGGAGGAGAGGGGCAGGGUAUACGAUGGCUAGAUACCGCUCGCUGCCGUCGUCGUGGUGUGGUGUACGCCGAGGCUGCUGACCCGCUCGCUACCAUCGUCGUGGUGUACGCCGUAGCCGCCGAGCGUAAAUGUUCUUCCCCCGAUGGCUGCUCCAGUCCGGCAGGCCACCCCUAUAGUAAAUGCACACGUUAUAGCUGACGUCGAGGUCCAAGCCGCUACCGUUGCUGCUGUAGUAGCUAACUCUCUUAGAGCGCUUGUUUUCGCUAAUUCAAAUAUAAUAAAAAUAAAACAAGCUUAUCAAAUUAAAUUUAAGUAUAAUACGCUACAUCAAACUUAACUUAACACAAUAGAUAAAAAUUUAAACACAACACGUUACAUCAACUCUGUUUAACACGAUAGAUCCAAACUUAAAUGUACUUUUUUCAAUAUCCCUCAAUUUAAAUUCACAAGUCGAUCCUUUGUGUACAAAAUUGAGGACUUUAUGUUCCCCAAUUUCAAACCCCUCCGUAUGUUCCCCGAUUUAAUAUUACGUAGCCGAUCUCUAAGGGAAUCGGAUAACGUAGCACUCUUGAAGAAGCCAAAGGGCAGAUAGCAAUCUUGAAACAGGUGUUAAUAAAAAUAAUCGAAUUACUCACAUUAGAAGACUUUAAUCAGGAACGGUACGACGAAAAACCAAUCAUAUCCAUGAGUCCAUCAUAAGUUUUAAAUCUUAAGUCUACUGGACUAGCAACCUAUGUAGGCAAAAUCAAAUAAUCCAAGUGUACCGUGGUUAAUUUGUACAGUUUCGAUACGUUACUUCACUAAAACUCUAACGAAUUAUAUACCUGGAUUUCGGUCAUCUUAUUUACUUAUCUGCCACACGUAACUAAAUACGUCUCCGGUCGCCGAAUUAGAGGAAGCUGCCUCAUACACCGAAAAAGUCCAAGUCCGAGACUACACUUUCAUCGUAAUAGGAGUUUUUUUUUUCAUCCGUUCUCUAUGAAAACUCAAAACUCUUUUUUCGAUAUCCCUUUGACCACAAAACCCUUAUACUCUUCAGACGUACGUCACAACGGAGAAACUGAUCUCAGCAUAAUAACCCUUUAUUAGAGAGACAAAAGAACCAUUUAGUACCAUUAAUUCUUCCAACUGAUACUGUAGUUAGAUCCCUUCUGACACACGAACUCUACGUCAAAAUGAGUGUAAAUACAGAACCCUUAUACUCUUCUGACGUACGUCACGUGCGAACUACGUCGAGGGAAUUAUUUACUGACUGAAAACCGUACGAACGCGGGAAGGAAGAAGUAUUCAUUUCGGGCCUGAUCGUAAGGGACCUAUGUAAGACGAUGUCUCGUAGUCGGAAGUCGUGGUGACUCUUAUCUUUGUCUAGACAUGAGGUCGAAGCCCUGGGAACACCGUCUCGUCUAUACCGUGUGUGCCUAUGUAGAAGAAACCCUGGACUUCUCUUAUCUCUGUUAAGACUCCGUCGAAGACUCUGGGGGAAGUAUGACGGUUUCUCUGGGAGAGAUUGCGGUCGUGUCCUCGUCUUUAACGACCUCUUUCAUCUUCGGUAACUGAGGUGUCAAGGUGAAAUGCCGCACUAGGACUUGCCCAGGUUACGAACAGCGCCGAAUGAUUGUAAACCGUGCUUCAUGCGCAGUUACAUAGAGUUGUUCUUAAGGCGACGGCCUUUCUUCUCGCGCUAGUCAAACCACGAAGUCGACCUCCCCCUCUCGUCCUGCACCCUGUGCCUCGACGUCGCGUUCUGACUAGCGUGCCGCUAACAAUUUCCUACUCGCAGAAAGCGGCCACCGUUGGCGGACGCCCUCCCACUGUAGACGUAGAAGUUCGACUACCUCUCGCUCCUCGGCGACUUCUACUGCCAGAUGUAGUAAGCACCACUCCUCACAUGAACUCCGUUCUUACCCGAGAACGAUGAGACUAAUAGUUCUUAGAACCUUGCCUUUUGUUACACCGGAGAGGUUUACCCCAGCCUCCCCUUCCUUGAACAAACAAGUAGAUGGCAGCAUCAUCAAUACAAGAGAGAAACAAUAGAUCUGAGAUCUCAGAUCUCAUUCAAACGUACCAGUUCAAACUUGUUGAGUAAUACAAAACGACUAUCAAGACAUUCGCGAAAUAACAGAGCCCAUUGAGACCUUAGACCUACCAGCUCUAUUAAACUUGAAUGAUAUAUAACG